UGUAGCUCCGUUAAUUUAAAAAUUAAAGUGAACUGACCUCUAAUAAAAUCUAAAGCAGAAACCGCUUAUUAGAAACACGGAUAAUUGAUACAAUCGCGUUAUUGAAACAAAAUGUACAUAGACUGACCGGCCGUAUAUUAGAACAUUGAAGAUAAAUCGGAUUAUUGGAACAUCACAUCAUUUGAAACGAUUGGAAGUCGGAACGUUACUGAAGGUACACCGUUAAAUGAAACUACGCUAAAUUCUAUACAAUUUCAAGGCGGAAAUGCGAGUCAAGAAGCAUUUCAUGUGAGGGAGCUUUUUACAGAUUUUUUCAAUUCACCUAGUGGAACAGUUUCGUGGCAAAAUGAAUACAUUUAAUUUUAAUUUUUAUCUUAAAUAUAAAUAAAGACGUGUAGUUAUUAUUAUUAAUUAUUAUUUAUACAUUUAAUAUAGGUAACUAACUAAGCAGAUACCUCCUAAGUAUAUUAUUAUAUUAUAUAUUAAAAAUCUAUAGACUUAGAAAAACUACAGUUUGUUAUUAACAAUAAAAUAAGAAAAACAAUUUAAUAAU
Molecule: long non-coding RNA, 553 nt
Organism: Myzus persicae (green peach aphid)
Lineage: Eukaryota; Metazoa; Arthropoda; Insecta; Hemiptera; Aphididae
Exons: 3
Source: RefSeq, a predicted model, not a curated record